This 255-nucleotide ribosomal RNA is filed under the name uncultured Gardnerella sp. RNAcentral describes it as "partial 16S ribosomal RNA". It matches the Rfam family "Bacterial small subunit ribosomal RNA", at positions 99 to 354 of the family's 1533-position model. The record is from RNAcentral. Lineage: Bacteria; Bacillati; Actinomycetota; Actinomycetes; Bifidobacteriales; Bifidobacteriaceae.
CGAACGGGUGAGUAAUGCGUGACCAACCUGCCCCAUGCUCCAGAAUAGCUCUUGGAAACGGGUGGUAAUGCUGGAUGCUCCAACUUGACGCAUGUCUUGUUGGGAAAGUGUUUAGUGGCAUGGGAUGGGGUCGCGUCCUAUCAGCUUGUAGGCGGGGUAAUGGCCCACCUAGGCUUCGACGGGUAGCCGGCCUGAGAGGGCGGACGGCCACAUUGGACUGAGAUACGGCCCAGACUCCUACGGGAGGCAGCAGAC